Molecule: ribosomal RNA, 465 nt
Filed under: Vreelandella stevensii
Lineage: Bacteria; Pseudomonadati; Pseudomonadota; Gammaproteobacteria; Oceanospirillales; Halomonadaceae
Description: partial 16S ribosomal RNA
Rfam family: Bacterial small subunit ribosomal RNA
Source: RNAcentral
CCUACGGGUGGCAGCAGUGGGGAAUAUUGGACAAUGGGGGCAACCCUGAUCCAGCCAUGCCGCGUGUGUGAAGAAGGCCCUCGGGUUGUAAAGCACUUUCAGUGAGGAAGAACGCCUGGUGGUUAAUACCCAUCAGGAAAGACAUCACUCACAGAAGAAGCACCGGCUAACUCCGUGCCAGCAGCCGCGGUAAUACGGAGGGUGCGAGCGUUAAUCGGAAUUACUGGGCGUAAAGCGCGCGUAGGUGGCUUGAUAAGCCGGUUGUGAAAGCCCCGGGCUCAACCUGGGAACGGCAUCCGGAACUGUCAAGCUAGAGUGCAGGAGAGGAAGGUAGAAUUCCCGGUGUAGCGGUGAAAUGCGUAGAGAUCGGGAGGAAUACCAGUGGCGAAGGCGGUCUUCUGGACUGACACUGACACUGAGGUGCGAAAGCGUGGGUAGCAAACAGGAUUAGAUACCCGUGUAGUC